UCUGCAUUCAGCUCUCUCAGAAUCAGCUGGGAAAUCUUGAUGCACACCUCAGUUCUUGGCAGAUUAGCCAGAUAAACUUUCUGUGUGGUUGAGUUACAACCAACGAGAAUCACAGAAUCAUGGAACCACCAAAUGGUUUGGUUGGAAGGGACCUCAAAGCCCAUCCAGUUCCAACCCCCUUGCCCCUGGCUGGCAGGGCUGCCACCCAGCAGCUCAGGCUGCCCAGGGCCCCCUCCAACCUAUCCUUGAAUGCCUCAGGGAUGGAGCAACCACAGCUUCUCUGGACAACUGUGCCAGGACCUCACUGCCCUCUGAGUAAAGAAUUUCUUCCUAAUAUCUAACCGAAAUCUCCCCUCUUUUAGUUUAAAGCCAUUAUUCCUUGUCCUACCAGUGUCAGAUCACAUAAAAGUUGGCCUCCCUCAUGUUUAUAAGCUCUGGCAAAUCCAUUCCUGUAUUGUCAGGAAAUUCGCAAGCACUCAAGCACUCCCAAGAGCAUGUACGGACACAGACUAUUUGGGACAGGCCACAGGGGCCAAGCAAAGCUCUCUAAAGAUAUUUUUAAUAUGGAAUAUGACAGAAAUGCAUGUGAGAAAGAAGUACCACAGUGAGUUCUGUGUAAGGACAGACAGAAGCUUGCAUGAACUGUCACUGUGACCUUGACCCAAAGACUUUCAGUGGCAGAAAGAUGGACUCAAGAAUUUCCACAGGAAUUUGAAGCAUUAUAGUGAGUGUACUUUCCUUCCGAUAAGUAAAGAAUAACUAAAUCAAUAUCAAAAUGUUGGGGAAUAACCUGGGUUUAGAUGAGACAACGGUCUAGCACAGAGGAUGUGGUUUUCUCUUUUCACAUGGGACUUGCCACAAUUGCCCUUUCCGUUGGCUCCCAGUUGGAGGAUGACAAAUGGCGUGAGUGUGCAGCUGAAGGUCUCAUGGAAAUGUUGGUUAGCACAGAAUUUAUCUUUGUGGCUGCUUAAGGCUGUUUUCCAUCCAAUGCCUUCACAUUUGCUGUCUAACAAUGGGACUAACUCUCGCUGUGUUAUGAGAUAUCUAACAAGAUGGGUUUUUUAUUUCAGUCUGGCCCUUUCUUUUUGGUGCCUUGUUUCUUACAGCUUCCCUCCCUAAUAAGAAACAUCCAAGGUGAAGAUAUUGUCGGAUCAUCCAAAUGGCUACAGUAGAAAAUAGUGCCACACUCCUUUCCCUCCCCCGUUAAUGGCUGUAUUCUCCUGUAUACUCCCAUAUUUACAAUUUUUUCCUGCCUCUUGAUUUCUCCUCUCACUUCCCUGUUUUCACCUCUCACAUAUUCCAUAGUGGCAACGAUACCUUUUCCCAUCGUUUGAGAUAUUGUUUCCUCUGGCUAAGCCUCAAACCCAGCUCAGUGUUUUCUCAACACUUCUGCAUUUUAUUCCUUUGACACAGGCUUGUGCAUGCCAUCCACCACCCCAGUGCAAACUCAUCAAGAGGAAAGCCAGAUCUUUUCCCUUUGGCCUCUUCUGCAUCAUCUAUCACAGCAGACAACUCCAUUUUCUUUCCUUUGCCGUGUAAUCUGGACUCUUUUCUCUCCUUCUGCCACACUAAAUCUUGUCUCAUUAAAUCUUGUCAUUUCUUUUUCAAUAAAAUCAAGAUCUGUCUUUUCACUGCUAUCUCCAGUCUUAAAAUCAGAUUCGUCUUCUAUUCUCACGGCAAUAAAUUCCUGCAAUAGAUAGAUAGCUGGAGUGCUGUUGAAUAUUUCAAUAAGGGAAUAAAUCCUGUUUGUCU
RNAcentral lists this long non-coding RNA (1752 nucleotides) under Gallus gallus (chicken). RNAcentral's name for it is "lncRNA (ENSGALG00010004274.1)". Lineage: Eukaryota; Metazoa; Chordata; Aves; Galliformes; Phasianidae. The record is from RNAcentral.